This 73-nucleotide transfer RNA is filed under the name Lytechinus variegatus (green sea urchin). RNAcentral's name for it is "tRNA-Val". Lineage: Eukaryota; Metazoa; Echinodermata; Echinoidea; Temnopleuroida; Toxopneustidae. The record is from RNAcentral.
GUUUCCGUAGUGUAGCGGUCAUCACGUGAGUCUAACACACUCAAGGUCCCCGGUUCGAGCCCGGGCGGAAACA